This 607-nucleotide ribosomal RNA is filed under the name uncultured bacterium. RNAcentral describes it as "bacterial SSU rRNA". It matches the Rfam family "Bacterial small subunit ribosomal RNA", at positions 730 to 1315 of the family's 1533-position model. The record is from RNAcentral.
CGUAACCGUUUUGAGCCUUAUGAGUAAAGUUGCAUCAAUGACUGGGGUGAAGUCUUUUGGGGUAUCUGAUCGCUAUGGGAUUCCGUGACUCCACAACGACAACGAUGAUAACUCGCUGUCGGCGAUAUACAGUCGGUGGCCAAGCGAAAGCGAUAAGUUAUCCACCUGGGGAGUACGACCGCAAGGUUGAAACUCAAAGGAAUUGACGGGGGCCCGCACAAGCGGAGGAACAUGUGGUUUAAUUCGAUGAUACGCGAGGAACCUUACCCGGGCUCGAACGGUGCAGGAAUAUGGUAGAGAUAUCAUAGCUAGCAAUAGUCUGUAUCGAGGUGCUGCAUGGUUGUCGUCAGCUCGUGCCGUGAGGUGUCGGCUUAAGUGCCAUAACGAGCGCAACCCUUGUCAUUAGUUACCAUCAGGUCAAGCUGGGGACUCUAAUGUGACUGCCACCGUAAGGGUGAGAGGAAGGGGGGGAUGACGUCAAAUCAGCACGGCCCUUAUGUCCGGGGCGACACACGUGUUACAAUGGGGGGUACAGAGGGCAGCCAUCCGGCGACGGAGCGCCAAUCUCAAAAACCCUUCUCAGUUCGGAUUGGAGUCUGCAACCCGA